RNAcentral lists this ribosomal RNA (413 nucleotides) under uncultured cyanobacterium. RNAcentral describes it as "bacterial SSU rRNA". It matches the Rfam family "Bacterial small subunit ribosomal RNA", at positions 9 to 453 of the family's 1533-position model. The record is from RNAcentral. Lineage: Bacteria; Bacillati; Cyanobacteriota.
GAGUUUGAUCCUGGCUCAGGAUGAACGCUGGCGGUAUGCUUACACAUGCAAGUCGAACGAAAGCCUAGCUUUAGUGGCAAACGGGUGAGUAACACGUAAGAAUCUACCUCCAGGAGGGAAAUAACAUUUGGAAACGAUUGCUAAUAUCCCAUAUGCUGAAAAGUGAAAUGAAUUUUGCCUGGAGAUGAGCUUGCGCCUGAUUAGCUAGUUGGUAAGGUAAUGGCUUACCAAGGCUACGAUCAGUAGCUGGUUUGAGAGGAUGAUCAGCCACACUGGAACUGAGACACGGUCCAGACUUCUACGGAAGGCAGCAGUGGGGAAUUUUCCGCAAUGGGCGAAAGCCUGACGGAGCAAUACCGCGUGAGGGACGAAUGCCUGUGGGUUGUAAACCUCUUUUAUUGGGGAAGAAUUUU